RNAcentral lists this ribosomal RNA (292 nucleotides) under uncultured bacterium. RNAcentral's name for it is "partial 16S ribosomal RNA". It matches the Rfam family "Bacterial small subunit ribosomal RNA", at positions 505 to 796 of the family's 1533-position model. The record is from RNAcentral.
GUGUCAGCCGCCGCGGUAAUACAGAGGUCCCGAGCGUUGUUCGGAUUCACUGGGCGUAAAGGGUGCGUAGGUGGUGGAGUAAGUCGGAUGUGAAAGCUCGGAGCUCAACUCCGAAAUGGCAUUGGAAACUGCUCUGCUGGAGGGUCGGAGGGGGGACUGGAAUGCUUGGUGUAGCAGUGAAAUGCGUAGAUAUCAAGCGGAACACCAGUGGCGAAGGCGAGUCCCUGGACGACACCUGACACUGAGGCACGAAAGCUAGGGGAGCAAACAGGAUUAGAUACCCUGGUAGUCC